UGCAGAGCAGGCUGUUUUGGGACUUUUAAUUGCUGCAGUUAGUAGGAAAGCUUUUUAUUCCUAAAUGACUAAAAGCCACAGUUUGCUGAGCAAAUGAAGCAGAGUCUGCAAACCGCAAAUUUACUUUGGAUGUCUUCUCGCAUUCCUAACCAUCAUUACAUUCGGCAGUGCAAUCCCAUUGUAGCUGAUGGGCAGAAAAAGUGGGCACCAUGCCAGGUAGACGUUUCCAUGACUCCCAGCCCCCAAAGGUGAUGCAUUUUUCAGCUAAUUCAGUCAAGAGUGGGCUGAACUCUGGUUCUGACUAAGACAAUAGCAGCCUUUGCAGCAUCAGCAGAAUGUUUUAUGGGAAUGCACUAUGCUGUUGGCAGAGGACCAUGUGACCAUAUGACUGAGAUUCUAUCAUGGUGCCAAGACAGCCUUGGGAAGCAGCUCCCAGUCUGAGUUUUUUCCCUUUUUUCUUCCAUGGUUUAGAAAAUGGCAGAUCUGAGUGAAUUUAACUGCACUCAGGGAACGAUUCAGCUUUCAAGCACAACUUCCCCUUUAUGCUGGCUUUUUUGGCAGGACACCAGGAGGCUGUCCUUUUUUAUGCCUGAUAAAUUGUGUUGCUUAUUGUCCCGAGAGGUACAAAUGCAAAGUUAAAUAGCGUAUUUAAGCUUCAUAACUGAAUAUUUAAACUGCAUAUUUAGUUUUUAAUUGAUUACUUCUUAUCUUGAGCAGCCUUUUUUGGUAAGACCAGUAAAUAAAAAUGAUCUCCUUCUAAUGAACAGGCAUUUGGACUGGGCAAACAGGCUGACAACAUUCAGCAUGAGAUCAGUGCAGCAGUGUGUUCUAAACUGGCACCCUGCCUUUUCACCCCUUUGCUUCAGCCGAUUUGCACAACUCCCCAUUCAUAAAAAGUCGAUGCAAACUGGAUGUAUUUAACUGUUACUACAUCCCUGGAUUUCCACUAAGGUUCAGGCCAUUGUGGAGGAUUUGGUGUAUGUUCUGCGCAAUGCUUUGUGGUUGGAACUUUGACUAAGAAGGGGGAAGGAAAGGGGGGACCCACUGGUACCAUUCUGAGUAUCACAUCUUCUGAAGAAACAAAACUGAGUCCUUCACACAAGAGUACUGAAAAUCCAAGACAGCUGCAGUACCAGAAAUUGAUGGCAUGUGAAAGAAAUCAAGAAAGUGCUUGCAAAAGAAAUAAACACGUGCAGACUGCUUCAUCGUCAUAAACAGAAUAGAGCAGAUAUUUGCAUAUGUUUUAAUAUUUAGUGGUGGUUUAAUGAUGCCCUGUCCUGCUGGGUGUUGUUUUAAUUUCAGAUAAAAAUGAAGAUAUCUUUUGAAAAUUCUGAACUGUGGAAAUCAACCAAGUGACAGUAUAACAUGAAGGAAAUGGACUUUGGGCAUAGCAUCAGUUGGUCUGGAUCAGCGCCGCUAUAAUCGAAGUGGAUAAUUCUGUUCCGUACAAGUCAACAUAAGAGAUACCAGCCUGGAAAUCAUGAAUUACAGCUCUUAUAUAGACCAAGAAAUUCAGAAAUGAAUUCAGAGACUACCGAAGAGCUUUCAGAGUUUAGAAAAUAUAUUAGAAAAAGAAAUCUACAACCAUGACUUUGUGGUUUUCCGAUCUGAGAUUACAUUUACUAUAAAAACACAAGAAAACUGAGCUCUGUGAGGUGGGCAACAUCUUUAAAAGAUUUGUGUUAAUGUGGCUAACAACAACAAAGGCAGUAAUGGGUUCUCACAAAUGGCAUCUAGGAAAAAAGUGUAUGGCAAAACAGGAAAAUGAGCUAAGAAAGUUGUUAUACAGGGUGACACAGCCUUGGAGGAAAGAAACUUUUCAACUACAUUAUCAGGCCUAAAGUCCAUAGACAGACAUCAUGCAAACUCUAAGUGCUUCAGCUGCUUACCUUCCUCCACAGACCUUGUGAUUUCAGUAACUGAGAGUUGCAGAAUUCCUUUAACCCAAGAAUGUCCAGAUUUCCUUUCUUUUUUAAAUUAAUUAAUAGUGCGCUAUAAACUCUUUUUUUCCUAAUACAUUCUUGUGUUCACCUUCUUGGGUGGUGUGGUUAGACACAGAUUUUAAAUUUCUUAACCUAUUAUUGUUUUUUGUUGUUCGACGAUAGUUAAAUUAUUUUGGCCCUAUAUUUGGGAGCUCAUUUCAUAGUAUGCUGUAUUACAGAAAAAAAUAAACAGUGUUCUUUUGGCAGCAUUAUCAUCAUGGCAGCAAAGCAGUCUAAGAGAACAGAAACGGGCACCUCCGACUGCGAGAUAUUAAACUUCACCUGGUCCCUGAGACCCUAACUUGUGAGGACUUUUGGCAUAAGUCACAGGUUGGGCUUUUGGGACCUAGGUGGAGUAGAACCUACACCUGUCAGAACUUUAAGACUUAGACACCCUAAGGCAGAGAAUAACAUGCAGUCAUGGACAUUGUCUAUUUUUCUUUCAGAGCAAAGAGCAUAACUGCAGUUGAUGAGAAAACUAUUCCUUUGCUCACUUACACUCAGUAUUUCAGUCUGUGUGCUUGUUUUCUUGAGUCUUGCUCUGCUUUUGAAAGGGAUAUGCACACUAAAAUGUUGCCCUCCUUUUACAACAGAACUGGCCAAGCGUCUUACCAUUUUUAAUGAGUCAGUGGCUUUUUUAGUAGUCAAUCUGUUCCUCAUAGCAGAGCACAUCAGUGUAACUGAACUUAUGAUAUAAUGUUUGUCAAUAAAUGUAAUCUCCAAUAAUA
Long non-coding RNA from Protopterus annectens (West African lungfish), 2710 nucleotides. RefSeq lists it as uncharacterized. NCBI's taxonomy places the organism in Eukaryota, Metazoa, Chordata, Ceratodontiformes, Protopteridae. The record is from RefSeq and is a predicted model, not a curated record. The transcript is spliced from 3 exons.